CGUGGGAACCUGCCCUACAGUGAGGAAUACCGGCGAGAAAUCGCCGACAAGACCGCAUGAGCUCUCGCAAGAGAGGAAAGCCUCGUGAGAGGUGCUGAAGGAGGGGCCUGCGCCCGAUUAGCUGGUUGGUGAGGUAAGAGCUCACCAAGGCGUCGAUCGGUAGCUGGUCUGAGAGGACGAGCAGCCACACUGGGAUUGAGAACGGCCCAG
Molecule: ribosomal RNA, 210 nt
Filed under: uncultured bacterium
Lineage: Bacteria
Description: partial 16S ribosomal RNA
Rfam family: Bacterial small subunit ribosomal RNA
Source: RNAcentral